RNAcentral lists this long non-coding RNA (274 nucleotides) under Gallus gallus (chicken). Lineage: Eukaryota; Metazoa; Chordata; Aves; Galliformes; Phasianidae. The record is from RNAcentral.
CAGGAAGGCGGCGGCCGCCAGGAGGCUGAGCACCACGCUGAGCGUCACGUACUCAGGGAAGUCGCAGCCCCCCCCCUGCGGCCGGCACAGCCCCGGGGGGGCCCCCAGGGAGAUGUUGAGGGCGCGCAGCUCACACGGCCCCACAGCUGUGGGGCUGACAUUGAGGGCGCGCGCAGCGCAGUCCCGCAGCGGUACCCGACUGCAGGAGAACAUGUUGAUGAAGGCGGUGAUGAAGACGAUGAUGACGACGAGGACGGCGGUGGCGGUGCUGCGG